Molecule: non-coding RNA, 1924 nt
Organism: Dermacentor andersoni
Lineage: Eukaryota; Metazoa; Arthropoda; Arachnida; Ixodida; Ixodidae
Source: RefSeq, a predicted model, not a curated record
UGUCUGCAGUUCCACGCCAAUCAUGGAUUGGGCACCACACUGUGACCUGACUUCACCUUUGCCCAGAGUGCGAAAACACAAAUGACGCCAUCAGGGGCCUGCAAGCAUGGAUGCGAUAUCAGAGGUGAAAUAUACAUCGUCUGCAAUAGCCGUCUGAUACAUUUGUUUGAACGCUGCAGGACUUGUCAGGCUACAUGCAAUGUGCAGAAAGCAACAGAUAGAUGCCUUCUGCACCUCACACCCAUGUGUCCACUACAGCACGUAUGUAUGGUCAUGGGAAAGCCAGCCAUCACUAAAUAGAAAGGCAAAAUCCAUCUUGUUGGUUGACAUCUCUUGGCAUCUAGAAAUGAGAAUAGAACAAGUGAUGAAUUAGUCGCAUGUUUAAAUUACCAGAGGCAUUUUACCUACGACAAAAGAAAAAUAAGUAAAGCAGAUGUGGCCACAUCAAACUUCCUGACUGCCACCUUUGUUUUUGCAGUUUCUUUUUUUCUUUUACUAGAGGCCAACUUACAUGUGUGCUUGGCAGCGCACGAAAACUUGCGCCGGCAUGCCUUGCAUUUGCUGCACCUCGCAAGGAAUAUCGGUUUGCAUCUGGAAGAGACGUGUGCCAGGCCACUCCCGCUUAGCUCACUUUAGCCGUUCUGACAGGCAUUGUUUCGUACUUUGUAAUUGGCUGUGCUUUUGAAAUGCUGAAAUAUUGGCAAGCAAUAUUGUUUUAUUUUUAUAGUUGUUAGAUCAGUGCAAAACGUAAUGAAAGAAAGCACAUUCUUCCAUGACACAAAUCUGCCUUGCGGAGUGUUGAUUGCCCCACGCCGUAGUUACAUAGCCAGGCUAUAGCCAGGAAACACUAGACAGCCAAGCAUCGAUAACUCUCUGGAACAGAUAUUCGUGCUUGUGCCGCACAUGGACGUGUACAGUCUGUCCCGCACCAUCUUCGCAUGUGUAGGUGUGCCAGCGCGAGCUUUCACACACCAGCAAGCAUACAUAUAGUUUGGCCUUAAGGCAACUGCAACUGUUGGCACAACUUUCUUUUGCAGCUUUGCAUUCUUAUAUGGUGGGUGACGAGUAGGGGCUGACUUGUGAUGCGUCCUGUGUUAGGGCACUAAGGGUAUGAAAGCGUCACUUGUGCACAAGCAUGAAAUGUUUUACAGGAGCUUAGCUCUAAUGUAUAGCUGCGCACAAUUUCAGCAUGUCAGAAAUAUCAUAAUUAGCCUUGAUGUGCAGCCUAGGUGUGCCAUUAGCCUAGGUGGGCCAUUUGGAUUUGUGCAAAAGUGCCUUUUCUGUUACUGGUAGACAUUGCACUCUGCUACAGAGGUUGUGAUGUAUGUUCAAUUUUAUGUGCCUCCUUAUUUUGUACCCCACCACAUAUAUGUAGAUGUGAUCCUGUUCACAAGUUUAAACCCAAAAAGAAGCACUGCACCUAGCAUUGGUGCAAUCCACCAUUGGUGUGGCUGUUCCUAAGGUUCAGCUCUACUUAGUCAUUCAGGCUGCCCUGUUGUUUCCAUUCGCGCACAAGGUAAGAAAAUUUAACUAUCAAAAGGCAUUCAUAAACUAACAUUGACGUACUAGUUGUUCCAUAUUUGCAACAGAACAUAGCCUUGGAUGGAACAGAGGCACCUAACAAGUGAAGCCUCUGGAUGGCAGCCUCUCACUCUGGCAGAAGAUGGCAGAUGCGACUGACCAAGGUUCAGUGCCAAGUAUCUGAUGUGCACAUUAACGGACACUAACUGUGAUAUCACCUUGCAUACAAAGCUUGGGCAGAUGAUUGACAACCCAUGUGACGACAACAAAAUUUGCAAGAACGCCCACCAGGGAUGACGACAACAAAGCGCCGGCCAAUGGCAUUCAUGACAGCGAACCAAUUCCAUAGUGAACUGUUACAGAAGACGACCCCAGAGGCUCAUGUUUUUGACUGCUGGCAUGC